ACGUGGUGAUUUGUGCCGACCGGCUUGCGGCCACGAUAAAGAAACGCUAAAAGGUCGGGGUCGA
RNAcentral lists this non-coding RNA (64 nucleotides) under uncultured Sneathiella sp. Its description in RNAcentral is "SAM riboswitch (alpha-proteobacteria)". It matches the Rfam family "Alpha-proteobacteria SAM riboswitch aptamer", at positions 10 to 73 of the family's 79-position model. From Rfam's summary of the family: This family is a riboswitch found predominantly in alpha-proteobacteria that binds S-adenosyl methionine (SAM). This SAM riboswitch is located upstream of the metA and metC genes in Agrobacterium tumefaciens, and other methionine and SAM biosynthesis genes in other alpha-proteobacteria. Like the other SAM riboswitch, it probably functions to turn off expression of these genes in response to elevated SAM levels. The record is from RNAcentral. Lineage: Bacteria; Pseudomonadati; Pseudomonadota; Alphaproteobacteria; Sneathiellales; Sneathiellaceae.